Molecule: ribosomal RNA, 590 nt
Filed under: uncultured bacterium
Lineage: Bacteria
Description: partial 16S ribosomal RNA
Rfam family: Bacterial small subunit ribosomal RNA
Source: RNAcentral
UGGGGAAUAUUGGACAAUGGGCGCAAGCCUGAUCCAGCAAUGCCGCGUGUGUGAAGAAGGCCUUCGGGUUGUAAAGCACUUUUAUCAGGAGCGAAACGCUGUCGGCUAAUACCCGGCGGAACUGACGGUACCUGAGGAAUAAGCACCGGCUAACUUCGUGCCAGCAGCCGCGGUAAUACGAAGGGUGCAAGCGUUAAUCGGAAUUACUGGGCGUAAAGCGUGCGUAGGCGGUUUCUUAAGUCUGCUGUGAAAUCCCCGGGCUCAACCUGGGAAUGGCAGUGGAUACUGGGAGGCUAGAGUGUGUCAGAGGGUGGUGGAAUUCCCGGUGUAGCGGUGAAAUGCGUAGAGAUCGGGAGGAACAUCAGUGGCGAAGGCGGCCACCUGGGACAACACUGGACGCUGAGGCACGAAAGCGUGGGGGAGCAAACAGGAUUAGAUACCCUGGUAGUCCACGCCCUAAACGAUGCGAACUGGAUGUUGGUCUCAACUCGGAGAUCAGUGUCGAAGCUAACGCGUUAAGUUCGCCGCCUGGGGAGUACGGUCGCAAGACUGAAACUCAAAGGAAUUGACGGGGUCAUAGCUGUUUCCUG